This 23-nucleotide microRNA is filed under the name Spodoptera frugiperda (fall armyworm). Its description in RNAcentral is "sfr-miR-6094-3p". RNAcentral also lists the same sequence under 1 other name. Lineage: Eukaryota; Metazoa; Arthropoda; Insecta; Lepidoptera; Noctuidae. The record is from miRBase by way of RNAcentral.
UAUUCGAGACCUCUGCUGAUCCU